GGGGUAUUAACUCAGUGGUAGAGUAGCCGACUCUUAAUCGGUUUGUCGAAGGUUCGAAUCCUUCAUGCCCCACCA
RNAcentral lists this transfer RNA (75 nucleotides) under Raoultella phage Ro1. Its description in RNAcentral is "tRNA-Lys". It matches the Rfam family "tRNA". From Rfam's summary of the family: Transfer RNA (tRNA) molecules are approximately 80 nucleotides in length. Lineage: Duplodnaviria; Heunggongvirae; Uroviricota; Caudoviricetes. The record is from RNAcentral.